Long non-coding RNA from Alligator mississippiensis (American alligator), 2009 nucleotides. RefSeq lists it as uncharacterized. Lineage: Eukaryota; Metazoa; Chordata; Crocodylia; Alligatoridae. The record is from RefSeq and is a predicted model, not a curated record. The transcript has 2 exons.
AGUGUCUGACUAGUUCUGCAGCUUGGCAAAAAAGCCAGACGUUACCUCAUAGCUGCGGCCAGACAGCCCAUUUCUAUGCCAAGCAACCACUGCAGAAGCACACAGCACAGGGCCCUGCUUGAUUAGCACUUCUGCUGCUUCGAGAGUCCUGGAGUGUUUUGUUCAAGCUCUGCUGGAUGCUGGCUGGAAAGAGAAGUGCAAGGAAUGAAAUGGGGCCCUAAAGAGCACUGGCUAAAGGUUGGAUCCUGCUCCUCAUGAAGUCAGGGGAAAGAUGCCCACUGAUUGCACCAGGUGUUGGAUCUGCCCUCAUCCUAAAUGCGUCAACCCCAUCAGUGUAGUGAUAAGCAUAGUAGGAGUGAGGUUUUAGGAAGAGACGGGUUUGUGCUGCAAAGAUCAAGUCAAGGUCAAAGUAAGGAUGAGUGAACAGCUUCAGCUAUUUCCUCCAUAUCUAACAUUGUGAUGGGGAGCAAGGCUCUUCCAUGUGUACGGGCAACCUGUCCCACUUUCUCCCACAUAUAAGCUCUCAUUACUUUCAAGUAGGAAGGAUCAAGCCCUCUGUUACUCACCAUCAUCAACAGCAUAUCCAGAAACCUGAGCUUCAUAAAUAUGGGUAUAAAUAUAAGUAUGGGCCCCUUGUCAUCCUCCACCCAGUUGUCAGAACAGGGUGCGAGUCCAGCAGCUAUUACUGCUGUUUAUUUUGUCUCUGUAAAGAAUGAAACACCCCUCUGCAAUCCACAUUCUUCCGCUUCACACCUGGCAUCAAAUCACAGCUAACACAUGGAUCGCCACAGUGCAACAAAUGCCGCACUUUCCACUUUUCAAGGAUAUGUGGAUCUUCCUCAUGACCGAAUGUGUAGUUGAAGUUCCAUCUGGGCAGUAUGAUCUACUUUUCAGCCAAAUGAGAACCAGCUCAUUUUGGCAGAGAGAAUGGGAGAGAGCCUCUGCCAUGAUCAGGACUCCCUAUACCAUCACCAGUUUUGAUGAACAUCCGUCUGACUUGGUUCUUCCAUGAUGUCUUGGUAGCCAACCUGAGAAGUUCAGGAACAGUUCCAGGACCUGUGCCACGAAUGACCAGCUCUGGGACAUUUGAGACAACCCACUGUGCACUAGUGGUGGUGGGAAAUACAUUGCACAUCUGCUAUGUGAUUGUUCUUUACAUGUUGGAAUUUCUGCUGAACUUCUCGAGACAAACGCUGCUGUUAGCACCUGUUAAUUGACUCAAGACUUCAAUGGUCUCGCUGCUUCAUGGGGUGAUUUAAAGUUUGCCUUGCUUGUUCACCCACAUAUGCUUUCAUAGAUAGAUAGAUAGAUUAAAGGACUGUGUGGUGGUCAUGUCUGGGUAAGACAAGCCUAUGAAUGCAUAUCUGGUAGGAAGCAGCAACAAUAAGAUCUCCCCAGUCCUGCACGUAUAGAACCAGCUACCUUCAGUGAGACCCCGGACAGGUGUAUGGGUCUGCACACUGCAUCUGGUAACAGAACUGAGGCCAUAUUUUUCAAAAGGGAAAAAUGAGAGAGAUUUUUUUCCCUGACUAAUAAGAAUUCAGAGCAGUGAACCCUAAUCAGUGUGGUUUACUGAGAACUGUGAAUUGGACUGAUUGUCGUUAUGGCUCCAGGUUCUUAGCAACCUUCUCUCCUAAUUAGCAAUAUAAAUAUUUUUUUAAAUAACAUUUAAUAAUCACAGUAGGACACUCUAGAGCAGAAGUUUCCUUUUGGUAAUGCUCUUCUAAGGUAGAGGUGUCUUGAUGCUUAAAGACACACUAGUCAUCCCCUGGCAUAUGAGUGAAACAAGCCCAAUUUGUAGUCUAUCCUGUCUGCUCUCCAAUCACUCAAUGUGAGUUUAUGUGCUGUUUGCUCAGUGCAGGUGCAUUUCCUAGCUGAACAUUUCCAAUUUUAUAAAAGUAUGUGGAUGAAUUUAAGUUUUUUGGGUGGAUUAAGUCUUAAAGAUGAAGUCUGAACUUUUAAGGUGUUCAAUAAAAAACCCCACCACAUACAUCCUGAGGGAAAACAAA